Molecule: ribosomal RNA, 457 nt
Filed under: uncultured Leotiomycetes
Lineage: Eukaryota; Fungi; Ascomycota; Leotiomycetes
Description: partial 18S ribosomal RNA
Rfam family: Group I catalytic intron (bases 119-413)
About the family: Group I catalytic introns are large self-splicing ribozymes.
Source: RNAcentral
CUUGGUCAUUUAGAGGAAGUAAAAGUCGUAACAAGGUUUCCGCUGAAUAAGUUCUGGAAUAUUUGAUUCUUCCGCGGUUAACACUUAUUGAAGCCUUUGUAGCCCUGCAAUGGGUAGCGUCCUCGACUAUAAAUAAUGGUAGCAGUUGCAAGUCAAUCGCCUAGGCGUUGGCAACAUAAUCGAAAUGCGGGGAUCUCCUAAAGCCUAAUAGUACUAACUAGUCGUGGAAACACUGCUAGGGCUUAUGCUAACAGCAUGAGGUACAGUAAUAAUCUAUUAGGAUGUACAAUGGAUAAUCCGCAGCGAAGCCUCUACCGGUCAUCAACCAAUGGGGAGCGUUCACAGACUAAGUGGUUGUGGGCAAUACGGUAGUAUUGUCUAAGAUAUAGUCGGUCCACUGGGGAAAUCCAGAGGGUAAGUUACUGUCGUAACCGAAACGUUCCGUAGGUGAACCUGC